GGGCAAAUGGCAGGGUUUGUCCUGAGAUCCUCAGGACAGAGUAAGGCUUGGUGGAGACACUGAUUUUCCCCACCCCACUUGCUUGGUACCAAUCCACCCCCUGGCAUGGAUAACAGGCACAAGCUGUGAAAGGGGAAAUCCAGCCAAGGCAGAGAGAGAAAUCCUUACUCAGAGGAGCAGAGGAGCCCUAGGAUGUUUUGUGUGAUUGUGUGGUGGUCUCCAACUGAUGUGACUUUACAAACUGCCCUGGCCCAGGCACCUGAGCAACCUGCAAUAGUUUGGAACCAGCCCUGCCCCAAGAAGAGAUGACACUGGGGACACUGUGGGAAGAUAUAUGUCUGCAAAAGCCACAGGAAAAACAGAACACAGUGGUGUAAGAUCCAGGUUUAUUUGCAGUGCACCAGGGAGAAGACGUGGGGUCUUUGCAUUCUUUAAGCAAAAUUCUUCAAUGACCAGGCAGAUUUGGGAUGAUGGGGGAAAUCAGCAGGUGUGAAACUUCUCAGGAGUCCUAUUAAGGAGGGAGGAGGAGGAAAAAAAGAAUAGUGAUACAUGAGGACUCCCCUUCUCACAAACCCUCCCCUGCAUCAGGCAGUAGAGACAGCCUAGGCCUAGGGCUUGAAUGGCUCCUGCUUUUCUCCCCACUUUGGGAGCCCAGGAAAGGGUCAAUAGCCUAUCAGUUCCCAUUAUAAUGGAGCUCCUGACCUGUUGUAAUACUCACAUAGAUGACUAGAAGCCAUUCUGCAGGGGAGAGAGAGAGAGAGAGAGAGAGAGAGGCAAGUAAGCACUUAGAGGGUUUCCUGAGGGCCUCCUGGGUCCAUGAUCAUGGAUAUUUUUGGAACCUGCCUCCUCCCAAAGUUUUCUCUGUUCUGCCACCCCUUUACCCCCCAUGUUACCUGCCUCAUCCACCUGGAUCUCUGAAAGAAGCCCUGUCUGCCCUCUGUGUUCUGCCCCAGAUCCAUCCACACUCACCCCAUUGUCGUUGAAGCUGCCAUCCCCGGCUAUAUUCCCAUUAAAGCUGUGUGAGUUCUGCAAAAAACAUACACAGACUAUUGCUGUAAAUUUGCCAUGACUGAGGGUGGGGGGAGGGAGGCAGACAUAUCUGGGAAAGAAGGUCAGUUCACCAUUUCCUCUCCAUCUGCCACUAAGCUGGUAGCAGGAAAAAGAGGGUCCUUCUGGUGCCCCUAGUCCUGUGACCCUCUGCAGUUGUAUGCAGGAUGGUCCCAGUCCUCUGUCUUAUGGUCCCACAUGGUCUCAUGAUUUCAUGGUCCCACUUCUCUCUCUCAUGGUCCCUUUGCAGGGACACUAAAGAUCCCCAUACAUCCUAAAUCACCCAUCCCCUCCAAUUUGUCCUACCAGGGAAGCUGCCUUAGUGCCUCCCAGCAGCAGGAGACAAAUGGCCAGGAAUGCAACACAGAUCCGUCUCUCCAUGGCUUCUUCUUUGCAACAGGGUACUCUGUCCUUCAGACUAAGACUGUGCAUGAUGGUAAGACUGGGGCUGGAUUUAUAGAGCACAGCUAGAUUUUGCCACAUCAUCCCUGCCUGAGCCAGCCCUGAUAUCCUGACCCAGCCCAUGGCCUUCCUGGUAUCACAAGUCUCCACCUUGGCUUAUCACUGCAACUUAAUCUAUCUCCACCACUCCCUUUUGUGGGAUCAGAGCUACAUUUUGGUUUUUGGGGAGGAACCUCAGGAGUUUCCAGUCAAACUUCCAUUUUAGAUCUAUCUUCAAUAUUAAACCACUUUGCUCAAGCUCUGGGCCAGGGCAGUGUCCCCAGAUGCAGAACCACCCCCUGGUCCCAGACCCUGUCCCAGGGCUGCCUCACGCCUCUGGCAAAGGGUUUGUGCCCCUGCCCCAGCAGGAUUUCCCCGUCUCAACUUCUGCCCACUGCCUUUCAGUCCUUUUCUGGGCCCCUCUGAGAAGAGUCUGCCUCUAACCUCUCUCCCGCUCCCUGUGGGAGCCCCUCCUCCUUGACAGCAGGGGCUGGU
RNAcentral lists this long non-coding RNA (1983 nucleotides) under Apteryx owenii (little spotted kiwi). RNAcentral's name for it is "lncRNA (ENSAOWG00000002557.1)". Lineage: Eukaryota; Metazoa; Chordata; Aves; Apterygiformes; Apterygidae. The record is from RNAcentral.